RNAcentral lists this ribosomal RNA (1206 nucleotides) under metagenome. RNAcentral's name for it is "SSU rRNA". It matches the Rfam family "Eukaryotic small subunit ribosomal RNA", at positions 189 to 1371 of the family's 1831-position model. The record is from RNAcentral.
ACUACGGAAGGGCUGUAUUUAUUGGAUACCAAAACCAUCCUUCCCUCGGGAAGUUUUGUUUGACGAUUCACAAUAACUGAUCGGAUCGCCACUGUGGUGGCGACAGGUCAUUCAACAUUCUGCCCUAUCAGCUUUCGAUGGUUGUGUAGUGGACAGCCAUGGCCAUAACGGGUAACGGAGAAUCAGGGUUCGAUUCCGGAGAAGGAGCUUGAGAAUUGGCUACUACAUCUAAGGAAGGCAGCAGGCGCGCAAAUUACCCAAUCCCGAUUCGGGGAGGUAGUGACAAAAAAUAACAAUACCGGGCCUUUUUGGGCUUGGUAAUUGGAAUGAGGGAGAGUUAAACGGACCAUCGAGUAUCCAUUGGAGGGCAAGUCUGGUGCCAGCAGCUGCGGUAAUACCAGCUCCAAUAGCGUAUAUUAAAGUUGUUGCAGUCAAAAAGCUCGUAGUUGGACUUGUGUGCGCUGUCCGCGGGUGGCCUGCGCCCAAAAGGGCGUUUCGGUUCGGCCCCGGUGGCGCCUUGAAAUCUGCAGCUGGGGGGACGUUGGCCUUAACUGGUCGGCGACCGCACGCCGGCUGCUCGGUUACUGUGAGAAAAUUAGAGUGUUCAAGGCAGGCAUUGGGUGCAAUUGAAUACAUUAGCAUGGAAUAAUAAAAUAUGGCUCCUGCCGUAUUUUGUUGGUUUUGACUGGUGGGAGUAAUGAUUGAUAGGGACGGUUGGGGGUGCUAGUAUUGAGCGGCCAGAGGUGAAAUUCAUGGAUUCGCUCAAGACUAACUUAUGCGAAAGCAUUCACCAAGGACGUCCUCUUUAAUCAAGAACGAAAGUUGGGGGAUCGAAGACGAUCAGAUACCGUCGUAGUCUCAACCAUAAACUAUGUCGACUUGGGAUCGGCGGUAGUUUUUUCAUUAAGACACUGUCGGGACCACGGGAGAAAUCAAAGUGUCUGGACUCUGGGGGAAGUAUGGUCGCAAGGCUGAAACUUGAAGGAAUUGACGGAAGGGCACCACCAGGAGUGGAGCCUGCGGCUUAAUUUGACCCAACACGGGGAAACUUACCAGGUCCAGAGAUGUAGAGGAUUGACAGAUUGAAGCCCUUUCUUGAUCACUUCGGUGGUGGUGCAUGGCCGUUCUUAGUUGGUGGAGUGAUUUGUCUGGUUGAUUCCGUUAACGAACGAGACCUCAGCCUGCUAGUGUAGUCGGCUGGAUUGC